ACGGAAGGCAGCAGUGGGGAAUAUUGCACAAUGGGGGAAACCCUGAUGCAGCGACGCCGCGUGAGUGAAGAAGUAUUUCGGUAUGUAAAGCUCUAUCAGCAGGGAAGAAAAUGACGGUACCUGACUAAGAAGCCCCGGCUAACUACGUGCCAGCAGCCGCGGUAAUACGUAGGGGGCAAGCGUUAUCCGGAUUUACUGGGUGUAAAGGGUGCGUAGGCGGCACGGCAAGUCAGAAGUGAAAGACCGGGGCUCAACUCCGGGGCUGCAUUUGAAACUGCCAGGCUGGAGUACAGGAGAGGCAGGCGGAAUUCCUAGUGUAGCGGUGAAAUGCGUAGAUAUUAGGAGGAACACCAGUGGCGAAGGCGGCCUGCUGGACUGUUACUGACGCUGAGGCACGAAAGCGUGGGGAGCAAACAGGAUUAGAUACCCUGGUA
This 434-nucleotide ribosomal RNA is filed under the name uncultured Lachnospiraceae bacterium. Its description in RNAcentral is "bacterial SSU rRNA". It matches the Rfam family "Bacterial small subunit ribosomal RNA", at positions 341 to 792 of the family's 1533-position model. Lineage: Bacteria; Bacillati; Bacillota; Clostridia; Lachnospirales; Lachnospiraceae. The record is from RNAcentral.